This 73-nucleotide transfer RNA is filed under the name Actinomycetes bacterium. RNAcentral describes it as "Actinobacteria bacterium tRNA-Gln". It matches the Rfam family "tRNA". Rfam says of the family: Transfer RNA (tRNA) molecules are approximately 80 nucleotides in length. Their secondary structure includes four short double-helical elements and three loops (D, anti-codon, and T loops). Further hydrogen bonds mediate the characteristic L-shaped molecular structure. tRNAs have two regions of fundamental functional importance: the anti-codon, which is responsible for specific mRNA codon recognition, and the 3' end, to which the tRNAs corresponding amino acid is attached (by aminoacyl-tRNA synthetases). tRNAs cope with the degeneracy of the genetic code in two manners: having more than one tRNA (with a specific anti-codon) for a particular amino acid; and 'wobble' base-pairing, i.e. permitting non-standard base-pairing at the 3rd anti-codon position. Lineage: Bacteria; Bacillati; Actinomycetota; Actinomycetes. RNAcentral also lists the same sequence under 2 other names. The record is from RNAcentral.
UGGGGCGUAGCGUAACCCGGCAGCGCGCCUGAUUCUGGUUCAGGUAGUCCUGGUUCGAAUCCAGGCGCCCCAG